This is a non-coding RNA of Paramuricea clavata, 114 nucleotides long. Lineage: Eukaryota; Metazoa; Cnidaria; Anthozoa; Malacalcyonacea; Plexauridae. The record is from the annotation of a GenBank genome assembly.
GUAGGUUACGGCGACAUUCAGCCUCGCACAUGGAUGGGACAAAUCCUGGGUUGUUGUUGUGCUAUGUGUGGUGUGUUAGUCAUAGCUCUUCCUGUAUCUGUCCUUGGAACGAAC